CGUCAUUUUAUACAUACAUACAUAUGUUCUAGACAAAUUUUGAAGUUCUAAUAGUAUGGCCAUGUACAUGUGGAUUAUUCUUCCAAUGUUUUGUUAUUAUUUAUUUAUUCCAACUGAUGCUAAAUAUUGUUAUGAUACGUAUCCAAUGGGUAAAAGAUACGAGACCUGUGUAGAAGAUUCAGAAAUGAACUUUGCAAAAAUAUUCUGCAGUGUUGUCAUUUUUGCGGUACUUGCAAUCCCGAUUUCAUUUUGUAUAAGUAAAAUAUUUCGAAGCCGGGGAUAUUGAUGAAACACAGAUACCGAUGAAACGUGACGCUCCUCUUAGAACAAAUUGGACAUUAUUUUUGGUAGCAAAUCACAUUUUCAUGAUAUUUCGAGACUGAAUAGAGAUGCUGUUAAUCAGAAAUCUGUUAAUUGUUUAAGUUGACUAUAUAAGACUAUCAGGUUAACUUGAUUGU
Molecule: long non-coding RNA, 458 nt
Organism: Mytilus trossulus (common blue mussel)
Lineage: Eukaryota; Metazoa; Mollusca; Bivalvia; Mytilida; Mytilidae
Exons: 3
Source: RefSeq, a predicted model, not a curated record